GAUGAACGCUGGCGGCGUGCCUAAUACAUGCAAGUCGAGCGAACAGACGAGGAGCUUGCUCCUCUGACGUUAGCGGCGGACGGGUGAGUAACACGUGGAUAACCUACCUAUAAGACUGGGAUAACUUCGGGAAACCGGAGCUAAUACCGGAUAAUAUAUUGAACCGCAUGGUUCAAUAGUGAAAGACGGUUUUGCUGUCACUUAUAGAUGGAUCCGCGCCGCAUUAGCUAGUUGGUAAGGUAACGGCCUACCAAGGCAACGAUGUGUAGCCGACCUGAGAGGGUGAUCGGCCACACUGGAACUGAGACACGGUCCAGACUCCUACGGGAGGCAGCAGUAGGGAAUCUUCCGCAAUGGGCGAAAGCCUGACGGAGCAACGCCGCGUGAGUGAUGAAGGUCUUCGGAUCGUAAAACUCUGUUAUUAGGGAAGAACAAAUGUGUAAGUAACUAUGCACGUCUUGACGGUACCUAAUCAGAAAGCCACGGCUAACUACGUG
Molecule: ribosomal RNA, 497 nt
Filed under: uncultured bacterium
Lineage: Bacteria
Description: partial 16S ribosomal RNA
Rfam family: Bacterial small subunit ribosomal RNA
Source: RNAcentral